AACGAACGCUGGCGGCGUGCCUAAUACAUGCAAGUCGAGCGAGAAAGUCUCUUCGGAGGCGAGUAAAGCGGCGCACGGGUGAGUAACACGUGGGUAACCUGCCCUUGAGUCUGGGAUAACCCGGGGAAACCCGGGCUAAUACCGGAUACGGCUGCGGGGUCUUCGGAUCCUGCAGAGAAAGAUGGCCUCUUCAUGAAUGCUAUCUCUCAAGGAUGAGCCCGCGUCCUAUUAGCUAGUUGGUGGGGUAACGGCCCACCAAGGCGAAGAUGGGUAGCUGGUCUGAGAGGAUGACCAGCCACACUGGAACUGAGACACGGUCCAGACUCCUACGGGUGGCAG
RNAcentral lists this ribosomal RNA (339 nucleotides) under uncultured Pseudomonadota bacterium. Its description in RNAcentral is "bacterial SSU rRNA". It matches the Rfam family "Bacterial small subunit ribosomal RNA", at positions 29 to 351 of the family's 1533-position model. The record is from RNAcentral. Lineage: Bacteria; Pseudomonadati; Pseudomonadota.